RNAcentral lists this unclassified non-coding RNA (617 nucleotides) under Hevea brasiliensis (rubber tree). Lineage: Eukaryota; Viridiplantae; Streptophyta; Magnoliopsida; Malpighiales; Euphorbiaceae. The record is from RNAcentral.
UGGAACAGAAUGCAAACAUUGUAUUGUGGAGUUCAUGUAACAAGUGUUUCCCAGGUUAAAUAGACCAGCAGAAUGACCCACAGCAACUACUUGUUCUUCUUCCGGAAGAUCUUCCAUGAAAACAGGGCCCUUCUCUGGGGCCUUCACAAUCUCAUCUGCUGUUCCCAUCAUCAUCAAUUUUUGACCCUCCUUCACUCCUAAUGUUGCCCAAUCAGCAUCAUCCUGCUUUGUCAAAGAACAAAUUUAAGAAGGGUGAUAGUACACCCAUAAAAACACAUUACAAAUUCUUAAUGUAAUACAAAGUAUCAUGAUACAUCAGAGAAGUAAUCACUGUUGCCCUAAUACAACAACAAUACCAGCUAAAUACCUUCAAUAAACCACCCUUAACCAUAAUUUUUUGCCUCUCAGGGGGUACUCCUGUCAGAUCAUACAACUGGCACUUGAAAACGUAAGGGGGCUGGCUCAUGUCGAUCUCCACUUUCGGAAAGACCUCCUUUUGCCAUUUUACGCUCACUGUGAGCAUGAUUGAUAGGUUAUUUGAGGGAUCAACGGAUAUAGCGCGGUGUGGAUUUUGAGAUUGUGUCUGUGCCUUUGGCUUGCUUGCGGAAAGGGGAAAA